RNAcentral lists this ribosomal RNA (433 nucleotides) under uncultured bacterium. RNAcentral's name for it is "partial 16S ribosomal RNA". It matches the Rfam family "Bacterial small subunit ribosomal RNA", at positions 29 to 507 of the family's 1533-position model. The record is from RNAcentral.
AACGAACGCUGGCGGCAUGCCUAACACAUGCAAGUCGAACGAGACCUUCGGGUCUAGUGGCGCACGGGUGCGUAACGCGUGGGAACCUGCCCUUAGGUUCGGAAUAACUCCCCGAAAGGGGUGCUAAUACCGGAUAAUGUCUUCGGACCAAAGAUUUAUCGCCUUUGGAUGGGCCCGCGUUGGAUUAGCUAGUUGGUAGGGUAAAAGCCUACCAAGGCGACGAUCCAUAGCUGGUCUGAGAGGAUGAUCAGCCACACUGGGACUGAGACACGGCCCAGACUCCUACGGGAGGCAGCAGUGGGGAAUAUUGGAAAAUGGGCGAAAGCCUGAUCAAGCAAUGACGCGUGAGUGAUGAAGGCCUUAGGGUUGUAAAGCUCUUUUACCCGGGAUGAUAAUGACAGUACCGGGAGAAUAAGCUCCGGCUAACUCCGUG